AAUAAGUUCAUUUGUAAAAUUUUGUAUCCAACGUUUAACCGUUUGUUUUUUUAAAAAAAUAUAAUUACUAUUUUUAUUGUUAUUAGAUGAUAAAAUAUAAAUAAAAUUUUAUGCGUGACUUAUUUUUCUAACCUUUCGUAAUUUUUUUAAAUAAAAUAAACAAUCAAACGUUAAAUAUAGAAGCCAACAAAUGAAUUUAUU
Molecule: microRNA precursor, 201 nt
Filed under: Oryza meridionalis
Lineage: Eukaryota; Viridiplantae; Streptophyta; Magnoliopsida; Poales; Poaceae
Description: MIR812 microRNA precursor family
Rfam family: MIR812 microRNA precursor family
Source: Rfam by way of RNAcentral